This is a long non-coding RNA of Lates calcarifer (barramundi perch), 597 nucleotides long. RefSeq lists it as uncharacterized. The record is from RefSeq and is a predicted model, not a curated record. Lineage: Eukaryota; Metazoa; Chordata; Actinopteri; Centropomidae. The transcript has 3 exons.
UGGCGCUGCGCAGCUUGACGCGCCUCUCUGCGGCAACUAGCACGCAGACGUCCGUCAUUGGCUGAGCGUGGAUCUGAGCAGGUGCACGAGAGGGGGAGGGACGGAGAGAGAGAGAGAGAGAGAGAGAGAGAGAGAGAGAGAGAGAGAGUCCGAAACACAGAGGCUCGGAGUGAAUCUCAGCUCGGUGUGAUCUGCCUGCUUCAGUCCUGUUUGGCUCAGAUGAUACAGGAUCUGUGCAUCCCGCUCGUGCCCUUCAGCGGGGAGCUCGGUGGUGUGAGCGCAAGGUACAGAUCGGACACACAACACACAUCACAUCACAUCAGUGUGGUGGUGGACGGGGCAGAUUCUCGGGAUAUCAACUUUCUAAUCGAAUAAAGUGACCGGGACGGUUGGAAAAAACAGCUAAGAAACUAAAAGAAACUUCACCCUGCUGGUCUCACUGAGAAGCCCUCUGAUACAGUCCAGAGAGAUGCCAGGAGAACGGGCAGGAUGAGCGGCUGCAUCUUAGAGCGUCUCUGCUUCGACCGAGUGAAGACAACACAAGGACUUGUUUUUUACCGAUCUGAUCGCAUUCUUGCAGGGGGUCUUAUACUUAUC